Molecule: ribosomal RNA, 461 nt
Filed under: Escherichia coli
Lineage: Bacteria; Pseudomonadati; Pseudomonadota; Gammaproteobacteria; Enterobacterales; Enterobacteriaceae
Description: bacterial SSU rRNA
Rfam family: Bacterial small subunit ribosomal RNA
Source: RNAcentral
AAAUUGAAGAGUUUGAUCAUGGCUCAGAUUGAACGCUGGCGGCAGGCCUAACACAUGCAAGUCGAACGGUAACAGGAAACAGCUUGCUGUUUCGCUGACGAGUGGCGGACGGGUGAGUAAUGUCUGGGAAACUGCCUGAUGGAGGGGGAUAACUACUGGAAACGGUAGCUAAUACCGCAUAACGUCGCAAGACCAAAGAGGGGGACCCUCGGGCCUCUUGCCAUCGGAUGUGCCCAGAUGGGAUUAGCUUGUUGGUGGGGUAACGGCUCACCAAGGCGACGAUCCCUAGCUGGUCUGAGAGGAUGACCAGCCACACUGGAACUGAGACACGGUCCAGACUCCUACGGGAGGCAGCAGUGGGGAAUAUUGCACAAUGGGCGCAAGCCUGAUGCAGCCAUGCCGCGUGUAUGAAGAAGGCCUUCGGGUUGUAAAGUACUUUCAGCGGGGAGGAAGGGAGUAAA